GCCAACAGACAAUCAAGGACUUUUCAGG
This 28-nucleotide non-coding RNA is filed under the name Cricetulus griseus (Chinese hamster). The record is from RNAcentral. Lineage: Eukaryota; Metazoa; Chordata; Mammalia; Rodentia; Cricetidae.